UACGGGUAGAAAAAUACAAAAAUUUUCUGGGGGAGAAAACCCCAGACCCUCUCCAGGGCCGUAGCAACCGCGGGGGGGGGGGGCUGCAGCCCCCCAAUAAUUUGCUAAUAAUCAUUCAUUUUUCAAAAUCAUGCAGACCUUUAUUAUUUAAUCCAUGACAAACUGCAAAGAAUGAAGAUAUUACCCAUACUUUCCUGCAUCUUAUCCAAUAUAUCGUUAAUUAAAUACACCUUCGUCCAUUUAGUACUACUGAAUUCUAAAUUUCCACAUACUAAAAACGCUGUUUUCUGACAAUCAGAAAUCUGUCAAAUCUUCCCCAAAGUCCAGGAAAUGGCAUUUCGGAGACUCUAAAAUUAAAAAUUUCCUCGGGCCUUCGGCCCUCGCUUUCAGCCCCCCCCCCAAAACGAAAAGGGCUUCCUACGGCCCUGCUCUUCCCCCCUACUAUUAAAUGCGAUACCACACCAAACUUUUUGUUACCAACAAACCAUCUAUCAUUGCUCCACACUCAG
Molecule: non-coding RNA, 509 nt
Organism: Paramuricea clavata
Lineage: Eukaryota; Metazoa; Cnidaria; Anthozoa; Malacalcyonacea; Plexauridae
Source: the annotation of a GenBank genome assembly